RNAcentral lists this ribosomal RNA (165 nucleotides) under uncultured bacterium. RNAcentral describes it as "partial 16S rRNA". It matches the Rfam family "Bacterial small subunit ribosomal RNA", at positions 355 to 511 of the family's 1533-position model. The record is from RNAcentral.
UAGGGAAUCUUCGGCAAUGGGGGCAACCCUGACCGAGCAACGCCGCGUGAGUGAAGAAGGUUUUCGGAUCGUAAAGCUCUGUUGUAAGAGAAGAACGUGUGUGAGAGUGGAAAGUUCACACUGUGACGGUAACUUACCAGAAAGGGACGGCUAACUACGUGUCAG